AUUGAACGCUGGCGGCAUGCCUUACACAUGCAAGUCGAACGGCAGCACGGGAGCAAUCCUGGUGGCGAGUGGCGAACGGGUGAGUAAUAUAUCGGAACGUGCCCAGUAGUGGGGGGAUAGCCCGGCGAAAGCCGGAUUAAUACCGCAUACGACCUGAGGGUGAAAGCGGGGGAUCGCAAGACCUCGCGCUAUUGGAGCGGCCGAUAUCAGAUUAGCUAGUUGGUGGGGUAAAGGCCUACCAAGGCUACGAUCUGUAGUUGGUCUGAGAGGACGACCAGCCACACUGGGACUGAGACACGGCCCAGACUCCUACGGGAGGCAGCAGUGGGGAAUUUUGGACAAUGGGCGCAAGCCUGAUCCAGCAAUGCCGCGUGCAGGAAGAAGGCCUCGGUGUAACUAGCUUUGUCU
RNAcentral lists this ribosomal RNA (408 nucleotides) under uncultured bacterium. RNAcentral describes it as "bacterial SSU rRNA". It matches the Rfam family "Bacterial small subunit ribosomal RNA", at positions 30 to 440 of the family's 1533-position model. The record is from RNAcentral.